Molecule: ribosomal RNA, 442 nt
Filed under: uncultured bacterium
Lineage: Bacteria
Description: bacterial SSU rRNA
Rfam family: Bacterial small subunit ribosomal RNA
Source: RNAcentral
CCCCUAGAGCGGCGACGGGUGAGUAACACGUGGACCAAUCUGCCCCCGGCCCGGGAUAGCCCAGGGAAACCUGGAUUAAUACCGGAUGAGACGGGACCCGCGAUGGCGGGACCCGGGAAAGGCGCUGCGGCGCCGCCGGGGGGAUGAGUCUGCGUCCCAUUAGCUAGACGCGGGGUAACGGCCCACCGUGGCGACGAUGGGUAGCCGGCCUGAGAGGGUGGAGGCCACAUUGGAACUGAGACACGGUCCAGACUCCUACGGGAGGCAGCAGCUAAGAAUCUUCCGCAAUGGGCGAAAGCCUGACGGAAGCGACGCCGCGUGAACGAAGAAGGCCGUGAGGUUGUAAAGUUCUUUUCGGAGGGGGAACAACCGUGGCAGGGAAUGGCCGCGGGAUGACGUGAAUCCCGGAAUAAGCCCCGGCUAACUACGUGCCAGCCGCCGC